GACGAACGCUGGCGGCGUGCUUAACACAUGCAAGUCGAACGGAAAGGCCCUGCUUUUGUGGGGUGCUCGAGUGGCGAACGGGUGAGUAACACGUGAGUAACCUGCCCUUGACUUUGGGAUAACUUCCGGAAACUGGGGCUAAUACCGGAUAGGAGCUCCUGCUGCAUGGUGGGGGUUGGAAAGUUUCGGCGGUUGGGGAUGGACUCGCGGCUUAUCAGCUUGUUGGUGGGGUAGUGGCUUACCAAGGGUUUGACGGGUAGCCGGCCUGAGGGGGUGACCGGCCACAUUGGGACUGAGAUACGGCCCAGACUCCUACGGGAGGCAGCAGGGGGGAAUAUUGCACAAUGGGCGGAAGCCUGAGGCAGCAACGCCGCGUGCGGGAUGCAGGCCUUCGGGUAGUAAACCGCUUUCGCCUGUGACGAAGCGUGAGUGACGGUAAUGGGUAAAGAAGCACCGGCUAACUACGUG
This 468-nucleotide ribosomal RNA is filed under the name uncultured bacterium. RNAcentral's name for it is "partial 16S ribosomal RNA". It matches the Rfam family "Bacterial small subunit ribosomal RNA", at positions 28 to 507 of the family's 1533-position model. The record is from RNAcentral.